UACGGGGGGGGCAAGCGUUGUUCGGAAUUACUGGGCGUAAAGGGCGCGUAGGCGGUUUGCUAAGUUGAAUGUGAAAACUCUGGGCUUAACCCAGAGCCUGCAUUCAAUACUGGCAGGCUAGAGUUCUGGAGGGGAUAGCGGAAUUCCUGGUGUAGCGGUGAAAUGCGUAGAUAUCAGGAGGAACACCGGUGGCGAAGGCGGCUAUCUGGACAGAGUCUGACGCUGAGGCGCGAAAGCUAGGGGAGCAAAC
RNAcentral lists this ribosomal RNA (250 nucleotides) under uncultured bacterium. RNAcentral's name for it is "partial 16S ribosomal RNA". It matches the Rfam family "Bacterial small subunit ribosomal RNA", at positions 524 to 773 of the family's 1533-position model. The record is from RNAcentral.